UUUGCACGAAAAUGUGACUGACCUUUUAUAGUAUACACCCUGUAUUUUGAAGUCAUUUUGUAUACUGUUUGAUGCUACACUAGUUACACGGGCAAUGUUGCUGAAACUGUCUCACUUGAGGUCUACGACAUGUACGUCUUUUUGCUUCCAAAGGUGCAAGCUCGCAUUAGCCUGAGUCUGGGCACACAGAUGGACGACAGGAACACACGACUCGCUUUCUUCUUGCAUUGUUUCACGGAUGCCAAUUAGUCACGUAGCGACCACCUCAUCACAGUGUCAGCCACGUUGUGACAUAUCCAGCUCACCAAAAAUAAUGGCUACAGUGAUAUAUGGCAGAAGAUACUGCAGCUGUGGUUGUGCCAAAGAAGGGGCCAUUCAGAUCAGGAUCUGCUACUGGAAACCUGUCGGAAACUGCAGGAGCAGCGUGCAGUGCUACACACAGAAAAUAUGAGGAAAGCUGUGGUAGACCUCUGCUCACAAUCUCAUGAAGAAAAGCUCAAGCUCAUGAAACUUCAACUGCAGUACUGGACAUCAUCAAGAGUUAUAAAGGACUGAACCCGGCUUCCAGUAAAUUCAUACUGUGCGUUCAUCUCCGUAAGGUCCACAGGCUCUUCCAGAUGCUGCAACAUAGGCUCAGGACAAGUCUCUGCCUCUGAACGAGAGGUAGAACUUCUAGAAGGGCCUACAGGAACCUCAUGGCAGUGGAGAAAACUCCAUGGAAAUGUGGCCAGUGAUGGUAAUAUGAUGACUGGACGGACAAGGUGAGAAGUUUCCGGAUGUUUACGCAACCAGCUAUCAACGACACAGCCGUGACUGAGAGACUGGCUGAAGGCAGCCUGAAAAAAACUGAUGAACUGGAAGAAACUUCUAAAUCAAGAAGGAACUCGGGAAUUCAUCUCUUCUCUGGGUUCUACCGUUCACAUUUUGUGGAGAGUUAAUUCUUACUAGCACAUUGGAGAGAUUGAGAACAGUGAACUCACAUAGGUUGCCAUCGGGUACUUGAGGAUGUACCUCAACAAGGCAAAUUUCUUUUCUUUCCUCUAUGCUGACCUUCAACUGCCUUAGCAGAGCAAUGGUCUGCUCAUACUGUCUCAUUGGCAGUUCUGCCAGACGUGUCGCAAUUUCUUGCAGGAUUAUUGUGGCCUGUCUAUGCUUCUGACACUCCAACAGAACUCGCUUUGCUGUUGCAUGUGGAAAUAUGCUCGUGUGUCCUGGUGUGGCUGACUGUGAAAUAAACAGCUGACACAAGUCAAGAUAGAAGUUGCUUGUCCAGCGUACUGCCAUGCAUUUUUCAAAAAACAUAGGUAUCCCCAACUCCAUGCAGCAGAGGAAUAUAUGUCUGCAAGGAAGCUUCAUUGCUUUCACUAGGUUACGUGUGCAGCUUUCUUCUGUAACCUCCAGCUGAGAACAUUCAUCUAGUGUGUUCAUUGUAGAAGCUCUCUUCAGUUCCUUGGACAUAAUGGAAAAAGUGUAAGGUUUCAGACCCUUGCAAUAAGCCUCCUCACAGCUUGACAUGUGCAUGACAGCUGGGGCCUUUAGCAGAGCCUCCAUUGCUCGCUGGUCACGUUCCUGUCGCAAGCUACGAACUACAACGAGCAGGUCCAUGUCCAUCUCGUGAAGAGGUGUAUUUCGCUUGACGACUUGCAUAAUUUUUUGGUUUGUGGCCUCCACGAGGUUGUUUGUCCUGUUUCCAAAGGUUGACGGCUGAUGUUUCAGGCCUUCAACCCAUUCCCUGCAUAUAGGAUGCCAGUUUUUGUCAAAAUAUGGUGUCGCCUUUGCACACUUCAUGUUUUGCAGUUCCAUAUGUACAAUUUGUCAUAUUCCUCUCCAGUAUUUGCAUAGCAAAUUUUUUGUAGGACCUGCAGAAUGUGAAGCCUCAUCUCUAUGGUGAUUCCCAUUUUUUCCGUUGUCACCUCCCUCUUGAAUGUCCGCAGUACAUGAAAGGGGCAAAUCACAUGUUCUGCACAUAGAAACACAUUCUUCAGGACUUUUCUCUCAAUGAAGUCUUUGUCUGUCUUAAUGGCUUUUGUUCCUGCAGUUGACCCGCAGUGAAAAGAGAACCUCUGGAACAAGGAAAGAAGUCUUCUCAUCCUCACUGGCACACAGGAUUAAUGACACAAUUUCACUUUCUCCAUUUGAGUCCUCUAUGAGGACAACAUAUAGGAGCAUCCUAUUGUUCGUUUUAUGGAUUGCAUCCACAAAUAGAACUUCUGGAUAGCUUUGGUAUGCUCUUCUCAUGUCAGUGUCCUGAUAGAAGAGGCCUACAAGUGUGUCCUCCUCACUGACUAGUACGUCCAUUGCACCACCAGUCCUCUCCACUUCGGCGGCAAUGCUGUCAUGUGCAGACCCUUUCAUUGCUUCAGCUUUCAUUGAAGUUGAGAUGUUGUGCAGGUCUCGCACGAGUACUAUCUUCCCGGUGUUGGUGAAGCGAUAGUGAAUGCGCUUCUUGCUGGCCUUAACUGAAAGGAAUCUUUUCGCUUCCUUUAGCUCCUUUUCGUUCACCCUUUGCUGUCGAGGCAGCUGGUGGUAGCAUCUCUUCAAAAGAUAUAUGACAGUUAAGAAACUCUACAGGCACGGAAGGUGAACAGAGAUGCUGUACAGAGCGCUGUAUGCAGUGGCGUAAUAAAGGAAGUGAAGUUUCA
Long non-coding RNA from Ornithodoros turicata, 2642 nucleotides. RefSeq lists it as uncharacterized. NCBI's taxonomy places the organism in Eukaryota, Metazoa, Arthropoda, Arachnida, Ixodida, Argasidae. The record is from RefSeq and is a predicted model, not a curated record. The transcript has 7 exons.